CCCUCAUCUUUAAGGCAUCUGAUACACCAGUCAAGUCACCAUGCCCUUAUCAAGCUGGAGCUAGUGGUCUUUUUUUGUGAGUUAGGAAUUCAGAAGCAGCUUGGCUGAGUAUUUCUAGCUUCAAGACUCUCAUGAUAUUAUGCUCAGAUUCUCAGCUGAGGCUGUAGUCAUCUAAAGACUUGACUGGGACUGGAGGAUGGACUUCCAAGGUGUCUCACUCACAUCCUUGUCAGGUUAAUGCUUGUUAAUGGUAGGAAGCCAUAGCUCAACAUCAGGUCAGUAUCUCCAUCAGCUGCCUGAAUGUCUUUAUGGCAUGGCAGCUGGCCUCUACCAG
Molecule: long non-coding RNA, 334 nt
Filed under: Homo sapiens (human)
Lineage: Eukaryota; Metazoa; Chordata; Mammalia; Primates; Hominidae
Description: HSALNT0394896
Source: RNAcentral